This 378-nucleotide ribosomal RNA is filed under the name uncultured bacterium. RNAcentral describes it as "bacterial SSU rRNA". It matches the Rfam family "Bacterial small subunit ribosomal RNA", at positions 28 to 407 of the family's 1533-position model. The record is from RNAcentral.
GACGAACGCUGGCGGCGUGCUUAACACAUGCAAGUCGAGCGGUAAGGCCCUUUCGGGGGUACGACGAGCGGCGAACGGGUGAGUAACACGUGGGUGACCUGCCCUUAGCUCUGGGAUAAGCCUGGGAAACUGGGUCUAAUACCGGAUAUGACUCCAUAACGCAUGUUGUGGGGUGGAAAGCCUUGUGCGGCUAGGGAUGGGCCCGCGGCCUAUCAGCUUGUUGGUGGGGUGAUGGCCACCAAGGCGACGACGGGUAGCCGGCCUGAGAGGGCGACCGGCCACACUGGGACUGAGACACGGCCCAGACUCCUACGGGAGGCAGCAGUGGGGAAUCUUGCGCAAUGGGCGAAAGCCUGACGCAGCGACGCCGCGUGGGGA